Molecule: ribosomal RNA, 279 nt
Filed under: uncultured bacterium
Lineage: Bacteria
Description: partial 16S ribosomal RNA
Rfam family: Bacterial small subunit ribosomal RNA
Source: RNAcentral
UGCCAGCCGCCGCGGUAAUACGGAGGGAGCUAGCGUUGUUCGGAAUCACUGGGCGUAAAGCGCGCGUAGGCGGUUUACCAAGUUGGGAGUGAAAUCCCGGAGCUCAACUCCGGAACUGCUCUCAAAACUGGUAGACUAGAGUUCGCUAGGGGAUGAUGGAAUUCUUAGUGUAGAGGUGAAAUUCUUAGAUAUUAGGAGGAACACCGGAGGCGAAGGCGAUCAUCUGGGACGAUACUGACGCUGUGGCGCGAAAGCGUGGGGAGCAAGCAGGAUUAGAUA